CUGUAACCAGUUUCCAAUUUGAUAAUCAGAUCCUUAAAUUCUGACCCCCGCUAGAUUACUUCAAGGCUUUAAAAUGAUAAAGUAUAACCUGCCACUAAAUGAGGCCUAAAGACCAAUCAUCCAACAAUCAGUUUCCUUGAUUUAUUAGUAAUAAAUCGACUCUCUCAAGUCUUGGGGCCCUUUAAAGGUUAUUCCAAAUGAAG
This is a non-coding RNA of Pelobates cultripes (western spadefoot toad), 203 nucleotides long. The record is from the annotation of a GenBank genome assembly. NCBI's taxonomy places the organism in Eukaryota, Metazoa, Chordata, Amphibia, Anura, Pelobatidae.